UACGAAGGGGGCUAGCGUUGUUCGGAGUUACUGGGCGUAAAGGGCGCGUAGGCGGCGCAUCAAGUCAGGCGUGAAAGCCCUGGGCUCAACCCGGGAAUUGCGCUUAAGACUGGUGUGCUUGAGUACGGGAGAGGAUAGUGGAAUUCCCAGUGUAGAGGUGAAAUUCGUAGAUAUUGGGAAGAACACCAGUGGCGAAGGCGGCUAUCUGGACCGUAACUGACGCUGAGGCGCGAAAGCGUGGGGAGCAAACAGG
This 253-nucleotide ribosomal RNA is filed under the name uncultured bacterium. RNAcentral's name for it is "partial 16S ribosomal RNA". It matches the Rfam family "Bacterial small subunit ribosomal RNA", at positions 524 to 776 of the family's 1533-position model. The record is from RNAcentral.